UAAUGUAUGGGGAUCUGCCCGAUAGGAGGGGAUAACUACUAGGAAACGGUGGCUAAUACCGCAUAAUGUCUACGGACCAAAGCAGGGGCUCUUCGGACCUUGCACUAUCGGAUGAACCCAUAUGGGAUUAGCUAGUAGGUGGGGUAAAGGCUCACCUAGGCGACGAUCUCUAGCUGGUCUGAGAGGAUGAUCAGCCACACUGGGCUGAGACACGGCCCAG
RNAcentral lists this ribosomal RNA (220 nucleotides) under uncultured bacterium. RNAcentral's name for it is "partial 16S ribosomal RNA". It matches the Rfam family "Bacterial small subunit ribosomal RNA", at positions 111 to 334 of the family's 1533-position model. The record is from RNAcentral.